RNAcentral lists this ribosomal RNA (458 nucleotides) under uncultured bacterium. RNAcentral describes it as "partial 16S ribosomal RNA". It matches the Rfam family "Bacterial small subunit ribosomal RNA", at positions 338 to 795 of the family's 1533-position model. The record is from RNAcentral.
CCUACGGGAGGCAGCAGUGAGGAAUAUUGGUCAAUGGGCGAGAGCCUGAACCAGCCAAGUCGCGUGAGGGAGUACUGCCCUAUGGGUUGUAAACCUCUUUUGUCGGGGAGCAAAAGCCGGACGUGUCCGGCUGUGAGAGUACCCGAAGAAAAAGCAUCGGCUAACUCCGUGCCAGCAGCCGCGGUAAUACGGAGGAUGCGAGCGUUAUCCGGAUUUAUUGGGUUUAAAGGGUGCGCAGGCGGAUUUUUAAGUCAGCGGUAAAAUCGUGGGGCUCAACCCCAUCCAGCCGUUGAAACUGGGGAUCUAGAGUGUGCGAGAGGUAUGUGGAAUGCGUGGUGUAGCGGUGAAAUGCAUAGAUAUCACGCAGAACCCCGAUUGCGAAGGCAGCAUACCGGUGCACAACUGACGCUCAGGCACGAAAGCGUGGGUAUCGAACAGGAUUAGAUACCCGAGUAGUC